UGAGGAAUAUUGGGCAAUGCCCGCAAGGGUGACCCAGCAACGCCGCGUGGAGGAUGAAUGUCGUAAGAUCGUAAACUCCUGUUAGAGGGGAAGAAUAGUACCGGUUGGACCGGUAUAUGACUGUACCCUCAGAGAAAACCCCGGCUAACUACGUGCCAGCAGCCGCGGUAAUACGUAGGGGGCAAGCGUUGUCCGGAUUUACUGGGUGUAAAGGGCGCGCAGGCGGGAUAAAAAGUCAGUGGUGAAAUCCUACAGCUUAACUGUAGAACUGCCUUUGAUACUUUUAUUCUUGAGUUCGGGAGAGAGAGACGGAAUUCCAGGUGUAGUGGUGAAAUACGUAGAUAUCUGGAAGAACACCAGUUGCGAAGGCGGUCUCUUGGUCCGACACUGACGCUGAGGCGCGAAAGCGUGGGGAGCAAACA
This 422-nucleotide ribosomal RNA is filed under the name uncultured bacterium. RNAcentral describes it as "bacterial SSU rRNA". It matches the Rfam family "Bacterial small subunit ribosomal RNA", at positions 355 to 774 of the family's 1533-position model. The record is from RNAcentral.